RNAcentral lists this non-coding RNA (185 nucleotides) under Ctenophora environmental sample. The record is from RNAcentral. Lineage: Eukaryota; Metazoa; Ctenophora.
CGGUGCUGACUGACUCAUGUCGGUGGGUCUGGCCAAUGUUAUGUCCGCGGUGCGAAGGUACGUGGCGUCAGGGGGUACCAAGCGCACGUAAGGGGCACCGUCUUCAGCACGAACAAUGCGUAAAAAUUCGGGAAACAUGUACGUGAAAGAAAACUGAUCUGUUUCUUGCCACUCAUUGUUUUGGU